AAGAGCGGCGGACGGGUGAGUAACGCGUGGGUAACCUGCCCUGUACACACGGAUAACAUACCGAAAGGUAUGCUAAUACGAGAUAACAUACUUUUAUCGCAUGGUAGAAGUAUCAAAGCUUUUGCGGUACAGGAUGGACCCGCGUCUGAUUAGCUAGUUGGUAAGGUAACGGCUUACCAAGGCGACGAUCAGUAGCCGACCUGAGAGGGUGAUCGGCCACAUUGGAACUGAGACACGGUCCAAACUCCUACGGGAGGCAGCAUG
This 264-nucleotide ribosomal RNA is filed under the name uncultured bacterium. RNAcentral's name for it is "partial 16S ribosomal RNA". It matches the Rfam family "Bacterial small subunit ribosomal RNA", at positions 91 to 353 of the family's 1533-position model. The record is from RNAcentral.